GCUCCUGUAGUUUAAUGGAUAAAAUUUCAGAUUCCGGUUCUGACGCUAUGGGUUCGAAUCCCUUCGGGAGCA
RNAcentral lists this transfer RNA (72 nucleotides) under Bacteroidales bacterium. RNAcentral describes it as "tRNA-Arg". It matches the Rfam family "tRNA". From Rfam's summary of the family: Transfer RNA (tRNA) molecules are approximately 80 nucleotides in length. Their secondary structure includes four short double-helical elements and three loops (D, anti-codon, and T loops). Lineage: Bacteria; Pseudomonadati; Bacteroidota; Bacteroidia; Bacteroidales. The record is from RNAcentral.